UACGUAGGGUGCAAGCGUUAAUCGGAAUUACUGGGCGUAAAGCGUGCGCAGGCGGUUGGUCCAGACAGAUGUGAAAUCCCCGGGCUCAACCUGGGAAUUGCAUUUGUGACUGCACGGCUAGAGUGUGUCAGAGGGGGGUAGAAUUCCACGUGUAGCAGUGAAAUGCGUAGAGAUGUGGAGGAAUACCGAUGGCGAAGGCAGCCCCCUGGGAUAACACUGACGCUCAUGCACGAAAGCGUGGGGAGCAAACAGG
Molecule: ribosomal RNA, 253 nt
Filed under: uncultured bacterium
Lineage: Bacteria
Description: partial 16S ribosomal RNA
Rfam family: Bacterial small subunit ribosomal RNA
Source: RNAcentral